AAUACGAAGGGGGCUAGCGUUGCUCGGAAUCACUGGGCGUAAAGCGCACGUAGGCGGAUUGCUAAGUCAGGGGUGAAAUCCUGGAGCUUAACUCCAGAACUGCCUUUGAUACUGGCGAUCUUGAGUCCGGGAGAGGUGAGUGGAACUGCGAGUGUAGAGGUGAAAUUCGUAGAUAUUCGCAAGAACACCAGUGGCGAAGGCGGCUCACUGGCCCGGUACUGACGCUGAGGCGCGAAAGCUAGGGGAGCAAACG
Molecule: ribosomal RNA, 253 nt
Filed under: uncultured prokaryote
Description: partial 16S ribosomal RNA
Rfam family: Bacterial small subunit ribosomal RNA
Source: RNAcentral